Molecule: long non-coding RNA, 862 nt
Filed under: Sinocyclocheilus grahami
Lineage: Eukaryota; Metazoa; Chordata; Actinopteri; Cypriniformes; Cyprinidae
Description: lncRNA (ENSSGRG00000054552.1)
Source: RNAcentral
CUGAGAUAUGUACCACAUCCGGUGUGAACAAAAGGAAGCAGCAUGAAAAGGAAAACAGCACUUUAGAUUGCAGUCUUAAGAUACAACUGACACCUGAGAUUCUUGAGACACACACAGACGAAGGAUAGGAUCAGCCUUUUGUGGAGCACCAAAAGAAGAGAUGGAAUAAUUUCAUGGGAUGAAGAAGAAUACAUCUCCACUGCAUCCUGUACUAUCACAAUCUAGAACUUGCUCUGAUAGACUUCCCAUCGAUCCUACAAUGGCUAGCCAAGGUACUAAAAGAAAACGAGAUCAUGAACCAUCUGACUCGAGUAUAGAGACAACACUGACAACAGAUAUGAUCACGGAGAAUGCAAGGCAAAUUCUGCAAAGAGUCACUAAAAACUCAGAUCAAAACGAUAAAGGCAGCAGGAAGAAGGCAACCAUAGGGAUUUUUGGAAAAUCAGGAGAAGGAAAGAGUUCCCUUUUAAGUGCAAUCUUGGGGAAAAAGGAACUCUUACCAUCUGGUUGUUUUGGUGCUUGUACAGCUGUUGUUACUCAGGUGGAAGCCAAUCUGACUGACUCCAACUACAUAGCAGAGAUCGAUCUCUUCUCUAAAGAGGAGUGGGAGAAUGAGCUUAAAGAUGUUUUCAAAGAUAUGAAAGAUGAAAGUGAGGAAAGGAAUGAGGACUUAAUUGAAAUUGGUGUAGAAAAGAUCACUGCGCUGUAUGGAGCUGAUGCAGACCAGAAAACAUUAGAAGAGCUCCAGAAUGAUGAAAAAUUUGCUGAGAUUGAAGCAUUUUUGUCUAUCAGUAAGAAAAUAAUCUCAAACAGUAAUCUCUCUGAAUUUACCAACGAAGUUGCAAGUUUCAUACAACAGUGA